Molecule: transfer-messenger RNA, 387 nt
Filed under: Pseudomonadaceae
Lineage: Bacteria; Pseudomonadati; Pseudomonadota; Gammaproteobacteria; Pseudomonadales
Also listed under: 1 other name
Description: Halopseudomonas xinjiangensis_A Standard tmRNA
Rfam family: transfer-messenger RNA
About the family: Bacterial tmRNA, also known as 10Sa RNA or SsrA, is named for its dual tRNA and mRNA-like properties.
Source: RNAcentral
GGGGCUGAUUAGGAUUCGACGCCGGUUGCAAAACUUUAGGGGCAUGCCGAGUUGGUAACAGAACUCGUAAAUCCACUGUUGCAAACUCUAUAAUUGCCAAUGAUGACAAUUACGGUGCCCAACUAGCUGCGUAAGCAGCCUAGUCGCACUUCUGGUAGCUUCGGCUCCAGCAAUCAUUAGGGGAUGUCUGUAAACCUGAAAUGAUUGUCAUAUAGAACAGAAUCGUCGCCUAGUACGUCGUGGACGAAGCGACUAAACAUUACACGACUCGCCCAAAGCACCCUGCCCGUCGGGCGGCCUAGGGUUAAUUCAGUAGACACGGCUAAGCAUGUAGAUCCGAGAGCGGAGGACUGGCGGACGGGGGUUCAAAUCCCCCCGGCUCCACCA